Non-coding RNA from Zonotrichia albicollis (white-throated sparrow), 3635 nucleotides. The record is from RefSeq and is a predicted model, not a curated record. NCBI's taxonomy places the organism in Eukaryota, Metazoa, Chordata, Aves, Passeriformes, Passerellidae.
UUUUUUUUUUUUUUGUCAAGCCAGCUGGGCCCUCAGCAGAACUCUAAAAUUCUAAAAGCAGAUUUUUUCAAAUAAUUUAUCUUUUGACAGAGUAGAUGAGAGCACAGUCAUGAAAAUGUUUGUGCAACAUCCCUGGCCAUAUUGCUGUGGCCUGUUUCUAGCAGCAGAAUAUUCCCUUGUUCAUCUCUGAAUCCCAGAAUACCCACAUGGAACGACCAGAGGCGAGGCUGCAACUUCUUCACUUUCCUCUCUCCCUCUUUUAAAAUUGAAAUCUGCUUUCCUAAUCCUGGCACAAGCUAACCAGAAUAGAAAUGCAGGAAGUAGGAGGCUUUAAAAAACCACUGCAUGAUGUUACCUUGUUACCUUUGUGUGUGAAAAUGAUUAAUUAUCCUUGUAAUAGAAUUUUAAAAGUGUCCCCAUGUAUAAUUGGCAGUAGUUAGCUGGAGAUUCAAAUGCUCUGUUGAUAUUUGCAUAGGUGGUCUCCAUGAUUCAAACAGCUUGAAUGAAACUGCUGGGAUUUUAUCAUUAUUUUGAUAGGUAUAAUUAAAAAUUGGUUUGCUGCAGAAUUUCUAUGGUGGUAAUAAGAAUUUUUUUGUUUCCCAGAGAUGUGAGCACAUCAAACAGUUUGAGGUUUGCUGGAGCUUCCAGGAAGCACUCAGGCACAUUUUGUAUGCAUGGCUGGGGAUCAGCUUUGUUCUUGUUCUGUAUUCUUUUCAUUAUGAUCCUUUGUUAUUUGUUGCUUACAGAUAAUGAAAUUUCUGCACUAAAGGUGUCCCAUAGUAGGGUUUUUAUUUGCAGUUUAAUUCUGUUUGACAGCACAUGUUAAAACCCUAUUUGUAUUUUAUAGGACUGCAUUUUUCUUCUACUUCCAGCAGUUAUAAAUCCUAAAGGGAAUUAUUUAAUGCUUUUGAUUUAGUUAAUACUUUGCUAAAAAUACACAGAGAAACAUAAUAUUCAGUUUAUUUGUCUUUAUUAGUGAUUAAUCAGGCAAGCUGUUGGUCCCAGGUUUUCCUGCCCAUUGGGCCAUAAUAGAAACUCUUUUUCUUCUGAUUUUCUCAUUUAUUAGAACAAAUUCCUGCCUGAUUCUUCCUGUACCCCUGGGUCCAUCAGCUCUGUCUCUCUGCCAGGUUGUGUCCAGUAUUUCCCCAUCCCCACCUUAAAACAUUUAUGGAGGUGUUUGCAGUGGGGGCUUUUCCUUCCCUUUGCAGAGCUCCAGCUGGGAAGGAAUGUGAUGUAUUGUUGGCAUGUGGAACAUGAAAUCUGGCUGGAAUAUGAAAUAUUUCUGGCCUGUGAUGCAGUUUUUGCCACAGCUGGUGGCAGACAGGAGCCCAGUGCUGUUGGCAGCCUGGGAUGGGCACUGCAACGUUGACUUGGCAAUUUUUAAUGGAUUCAAGGGAAUAGUUUGCUGCAGGAUGUUUGCUUUGUUGUGGUUUGCUCUUUGUUGGAGAGGGCAAUUUAAUUUUCUUUUAAUGUAGGUGAAUUUGAAUGCUGGUGAAAGUUGAGAACUGCAGAAGCCUCAGAAUGUGAAAUCUGUGUUUUGUGAGAUCCACAGGAGUUUCUGGCAGCGCUGCAUCCAUGGGGCAGUUCUGGGGAAUUCAUGGGGUAGUUUUGCUUCCAUGCUGCUCAAGCCUUGGCCUCUCUUCUGAAAACCUUAAAAAAAAAUCCAGUUAGUGCCAGUUGUAUAACUGGGGGCUGUUUUGGUGUGGAAUUUGGGGAUUGGAUUGAAAUGCAGCAAAUUCCUUCUCACUCUGGUCCUUUCCACAUUGCUGCCUCUGAAUCCCAAAACCCAAGGGAGUUCCCACUCCCAGCCCAUCCUCAGUGGUCAGAGCUGCAGCUUCAUUUGUUCUCCAGCUGCCGCACCAUGAGAUCAUCACAUGCCACUCAAAUUGGCCAGAAAAGCUGAAAAUUCCCUUCAAAACAUGAUGCCUGUUAGAUUAAAAUAUUUCUUACUAAUGUCCUAUUCUUAGCUGAACUGAACAAACAGAGUUGUCUGUGAGUGUGCUGCCUUGUGUGAGCCCAGACCCCAGUGCAGUUGGGAGAUUCUGCCUCAGAUUCAGACCCUGCCAAAUCAUUUCUUGGUUUCAUUUAAAAAUAAAAAGGCUGUUUAGACAUUACAAUCCACAGAGGGGCUGAAAUCAGCGUGUCCUAAGCUGAAUACAAAUCACAGACAAAAAGGGUUUUGUUGGGAGGGUCACAAAUGGAACUGAUUACUGCUAGACAGUGUGGAUUUCCUUCUGGAGGAUGGAGCUGAUAGAAUUCCUUCCUGACAGCUAGAAAUUAUAAUUGAGUUGGGGUUUUUUUCUUAAAACCAAGCUUCAAAAUGAGUAAGAGGGAUGGAAUCCAAAUCCCUCUGCAGCUCUGCCUGUAAACCAGGGUUUUAAUGUGAAUAUCCAUCCAAGAGCCCAGAUCCUGGGGAGGAGCUGCUGCCCACGUCAGAGCUGUGGCUUUGUCAAGCACUGAACUCCUUGUGGAUCCAAGGAUCUCUUACAGUGUUGGAUUUUUGUAGGAGGAGGAGGAAGAGAAUUAAAGCUGCUCGUGCUGUGUUGCCUGGUGGUGUCUGGACUAUGGCUCCUAAAUCCCAGGAAGCUCAGAAGUGCAGAUGCCUGAGAUGCUGCCUGAAUUCACAUUGGAACUGAAUCACCCUGAGUCAUCUCGCCUCUGUUUUGUGGGGUUUUAAUAGAAGAAAAAUCACCUGGACACCCCAAACCUGUGUCCCUCUGCAGCCCCAACUGCAUGAAAUCACCUGGAUGUGGAUAAGAGCCUUCAAACCAGUGGGAAUUCUUUCACCUUGGGGUAUCCCCUCUGUGCCUCUGCAGCACUAGUGUACAGGAAUUGUCACAAAUCAUUUUACAUGGAAAAAAUAAAUCUGUUAAAGAACCACUCAGCCCCUGCAUGUGUUGGCUAGAGCAACCAAAAUCAACUUGAGAGAGCUUUUCCCCCAUUUGUGAUGCAGCUCAGAUUUUGUGCAGCUGAGUUAUAUGGAGAGCUCCAGGAAAAAAAAAAAAAGACUAUUUAGAGGGAUUAGGAAUUUUCAAGAAACUGGACCAUGGAAGUCAGAGAGUAACUGAAUGUGUUUACUUUACCUAAAUUGCCUGCAGGGAAAAUCCUCAGCUUCAACUCACAUGACCCAUUGUCCUGGUAUCAAGGUUAGUUCACUUAUUUCAUCACCCCUGAGGAGUGAAAGGUAACAAGAAAUGAGGGAACUGCUCUGGAAAUUCCUUCCCUCCUGCACAGGGACUGCCUGCAUCUCUGCUUUAUAUUGUCCCCAAAAAUGCCUUGAGAGGUGUUUGGGCAAUUUUCCUCUCAUGUCUGUGUGUGUCUGUGGAUGUACAUGGAGAAUGAGUGUUUUUAAAAUGAUAUUUUACACUCUUGAUUGAUACCCUGACCGUGCAUGGGCUGCAGGAGCCCUCAAAGGCAGGGAUGGAAAGGACCCUUUGUACCUGGUGCCCAUCUCUGUCCUCAGAGGAACCUUCCCCAAACAUCAGCAUUGUGCCCCAGCCACUGUUUGCAUGAAACAUCAUCAACAACCUUCAUUUUUUACAAUAUUAAUUUUGUCUAUUGAUCCAAGAACCUGUUUGUCUUUUUACUUACAGGAAACAGCCUAACUAAAUACAUGAAUCCUGAUUUCACUUUUA